UACGUAGGGUGCGAGCGUUAAUCGGAAUUACUGGGCGUAAAGCGUGCGCAGGCGGUCUGUUAAGACCGAUGUGAAAUCCCCGGGCUUAACCUGGGAACUGCAUUGGUGACUGCAAGGCUUGAGUGUGUCAGAGGGAGGUGGAAUUCCGCGUGUAGCAGUGAAAUGCGUAGAUAUGCGGAGGAACACCGAUGGCGAAGGCAGCCUCCUGGGAUAACACUGACGCUCAUGCACGAAAGCGUGGGGAGCAAACAGG
Molecule: ribosomal RNA, 253 nt
Filed under: uncultured bacterium
Lineage: Bacteria
Description: partial 16S ribosomal RNA
Rfam family: Bacterial small subunit ribosomal RNA
Source: RNAcentral